AUGCUAGCUUUCAACCAGUUCUACAACUUGGCUGGCCAAAACUUCAACCUCCUCAAUGCUGCAAUAGUCGCCUUGAUCCGCAAAAAAGAUGGAGCUGACUGCAUCAACGAUUACAGGCCAAUCAGCCUCAUCCACUCCAUAGCUAAGUUAAUCUCAAAGGUGCUGUCAAUUCGCCUAACUGCAGUGGUUCAGACCAUCAUCUCGCCUGCGCAAACGUCGUUUUUGAAGACAAGGUGUCUGCAUGACAGCUUCGUUUAUGUGCAAAACUGCGUCAGAGCUCUUCAUCGUAGAAAAACGCCGACAGUGCUGCUAAAACUAGACAUCUCUAGGGCCUUCGACAACAUCUCCUGGGAGUACCUACUUGAGCUCCUGGCGAGGCUAGGUUUUAGCGCUCGUUGGCGAGAUUGGAUAACACUGCUUCUAUCCACAUCCUCAUCAGCGUUCCCCCUCAACAGAUCGCCAGACAGAAAAAUUAGGCACAGGAGGGGGCUGCGACAGGGCGACCCGCUAUCCCCUCUACUGUUCAUCAUUGCCAUCGACCCCAUCCACCGUCUCCUCCAGGCGGCAGAAGAAUCGCUCGACAUCACAACGAUUCCGGUCCGGGAAGUGAAGCUUAGGGUCAGCCUGUAUGCGGAUGAUGCGAUCAUCUUCGCAAACCCUAUCAAGGAGGAGAUCGACUACCUCAUGAGCAUCCUAAAAGGCUUCAGGGAUGCCACUGGACUACGGAUCAACACGGCCAAAUCAACGGCCACGCCGAUCAGCUGUGAUGAGAUCGACCUCACCAUGGUUCUUCAAUCCUUCGGCGGGAAAACAAAGCAGUUCCCGAUCAGGUACUUGGGGCUCCCCCUCAUCCUCGGGUAG
RNAcentral lists this ribosomal RNA (861 nucleotides) under Triticum aestivum (bread wheat). RNAcentral describes it as "partial small subunit ribosomal RNA". Lineage: Eukaryota; Viridiplantae; Streptophyta; Magnoliopsida; Poales; Poaceae. The record is from RNAcentral.